GUGGACGGGUUCGUAGCAUAUGAACAACGGUUCAUUUCUCUUGUGUGGGUCACCAGAAAAAAACCAUAACUUCGAUGAGAAACUGACGAGGGGAGAGAAUGUGAAUGAAUGAAUGAGUAGGUUCGUUUUUCGCUUUUUCUCUUGUGCACUUUAAAAUAUUAUUUAUUCUGUCAGUAGCCACUACGAAAUAAGGAAGAGGAAGUAGCGGAAGAAAGAAGAACGAUGACAGAAUGCAUUUCUAAAACAAAUGUGCUUCUGAAGGCAUGCCCUUCAUCGUCUUAUUU
Molecule: non-coding RNA, 284 nt
Organism: Caenorhabditis elegans
Lineage: Eukaryota; Metazoa; Nematoda; Chromadorea; Rhabditida; Rhabditidae
Source: Ensembl